GAGCUUGCUCCUCUGAUUUAGCGGCGGACGGGUGAGUAACACGUGGGUAACCUGCCUGUAAGACGGGGAUAACUUCGGGAAACCGAAGCUAAUACCGGAUAAUAAAGAGAAACUCCUGUUUCUUUUUUGAAAGUCGGUUUCGGCUGACGCUUACAGAUGGGCCCGCGGCGCAUUAGCUAGUUGGUGAGGUAACGGCUCACCAAGGCCACGAUGCGUAGCCGACCUGAGAGGGUGAUCGGCCACACUGGGACUGAGACACGGCCCAGACUCCUACGGGAGGCAGCAGUAGGGAAUCUUCGGCAAUGGACGAAAGUCUGACCGAGCAACGCCGCGUGAGCGAUGAAGGCCUUCGGGUCGUAAAGCUCUGUUGUCAGAGAAGAACAAGUACCGGAGUAACUGCCGGUACCUUGACGGUACCUGACCAGAAAGCCACGGCUAACUACGUGCCAGCAGCCGCGGUAAUACGUAGGUGGCAAGCGUUAUCCGGAAUUAUUGGGCGUAAAGCGCGCGCAGGCGGUUCCUUAAGUCUGAUGUGAAAGCCCACGGCUCAACCGUGGAGGGUCAUUGGAAACUGGGGAACUUGAGUGCAGGAGAGAAAAGUGGAAUUCCACGUGUAGCGGUGAAAUGCGUAGAGAUGUGGAGGAACACCA
RNAcentral lists this ribosomal RNA (650 nucleotides) under uncultured bacterium. Its description in RNAcentral is "bacterial SSU rRNA". It matches the Rfam family "Bacterial small subunit ribosomal RNA", at positions 76 to 711 of the family's 1533-position model. The record is from RNAcentral.